GGGUUGUGAGGUUAAGCGACUAAGCGUACACGGUGGAUGCCCUGGCAGUCAGAGGCGAUGAAGGACGUGCUAAUCUGCGAUAAGCGUCGGUAAGGUGAUAUGAACCGUUAUAACCGGCGAUUUCCGAAUGGGGAAACCCAGUGUGUUUCGACACACUAUCAUUAACUGAAUCCAUAGGUUAAUGAGGCGAACCGGGGGAACUGAAACAUCUAAGUACCCCGAGGAAAAGAAAUCAACCGAGAUUCCCCCAGUAGCGGCGAGCGAACGGGGAGGAGCCCAGAGCCUGAAUCAGUGUGUGUGUUAGUGGAAGCGUCUGGAAAGGCGCGCGAUACAGGGUGACAGCCCCGUACACAAAAAUGCACAUACUGUGAGCUCGAUGAGUAGGGCGGGACACGUGGUAUCCUGUCUGAAUAUGGGGGGACCAUCCUCCAAGGCUAAAUACUCCUGACUGACCGAUAGUGAACCAGUACCGUGAGGGAAAGGCGAAAAGAACCCCGGCGAGGGGAGUGAAAAAGAACCUGAAACCGUGUACGUACAAGCAGUGGGAGCCUCUUUUAUGGGGUGACUGCGUACCUUUUGUAUAAUGGGUCAGCGACUUAUAUUCUGUAGCAAGGUUAACCGAAUAGGGGAGCCGAAGGGAAACCGAGUCUUAACUGGGCGUUAAGUUGCAGGGUAUAGACCCGAAACCCGGUGAUCUAGCCAUGGGCAGGUUGAAGGUUGGGUAACACUAACUGGAGGACCGAACCGACUAAUGUUGAAAAAUUAGCGGAUGACUUGUGGCUGGGGGUGAAAGGCCAAUCAAACCGGGAGAUAGCUGGUUCUCCCCGAAAGCUAUUUAGGUAGCGCCUCGUGAACUCAUCUCCGGGGGUAGAGCACUGUUUCGGCAAGGGGGUCAUCCCGACUUACCAACCCGAUGCAAACUGCGAAUACCGGAGAAUGUUAUCACGGGAGACACACGGCGGGUGCUAACGUCCGUCGUGAAGAGGGAAACAACCCAGACCGCCAGCUAAGGUCCCAAAGUCAUGGUUAAGUGGGAAACGAUGUGGGAAGGCCCAGACAGCCAGGAUGUUGGCUUAGAAGCAGCCAUCAUUUAAAGAAAGCGUAAUAGCUCACUGGUCGAGUCGGCCUGCGCGGAAGAUGUAACGGGGCUAAACCAUGCACCGAAGCUGCGGCAGCGACACUAUGUGUUGUUGGGUAGGGGAGCGUUCUGUAAGCCUGUGAAGGUGUGCUGUGAGGCAUGCUGGAGGUAUCAGAAGUGCGAAUGCUGACAUAAGUAACGAUAAAGCGGGUGAAAAGCCCGCUCGCCGGAAGACCAAGGGUUCCUGUCCAACGUUAAUCGGGGCAGGGUGAGUCGACCCCUAAGGCGAGGCCGAAAGGCGUAGUCGAUGGGAAACAGGUUAAUAUUCCUGUACUUGGUGUUACUGCGAAGGGGGGACGGAGAAGGCUAUGUUGGCCGGGCGACGGUUGUCCCGGUUUAAGCGUGUAGGCUGGUUUUCCAGGCAAAUCCGGAAAAUCAAGGCUGAGGCGUGAUGACGAGGCACUACGGUGCUGAAGCAACAAAUGCCCUGCUUCCAGGAAAAGCCUCUAAGCAUCAGGUAACAUCAAAUCGUACCCCAAACCGACACAGGUGGUCAGGUAGAGAAUACCAAGGCGCUUGAGAGAACUCGGGUGAAGGAACUAGGCAAAAUGGUGCCGUAACUUCGGGAGAAGGCACGCUGAUAUGUAGGUGAAGUCCCUCGCGGAUGGAGCUGAAAUCAGUCGAAGAUACCAGCUGGCUGCAACUGUUUAUUAAAAACACAGCACUGUGCAAACACGAAAGUGGACGUAUACGGUGUGACGCCUGCCCGGUGCCGGAAGGUUAAUUGAUGGGGUCAGCGCAAGCGAAGCUCUUGAUCGAAGCCCCGGUAAACGGCGGCCGUAACUAUAACGGUCCUAAGGUAGCGAAAUUCCUUGUCGGGUAAGUUCCGACCUGCACGAAUGGCGUAAUGAUGGCCAGGCUGUCUCCACCCGAGACUCAGUGAAAUUGAACUCGCUGUGAAGAUGCAGUGUACCCGCGGCAAGACGGAAAGACCCCGUGAACCUUUACUAUAGCUUGACACUGAACAUUGAGCCUUGAUGUGUAGGAUAGGUGGGAGGCUUAGAAGUGUGGACGCCAGUCUGCAUGGAGCCGACCUUGAAAUACCACCCUUUAAUGUUUGAUGUUCUAACGUUGACCCGUGAUCCGGGUUGCGGACAGUGUCUGGUGGGUAGUUUGACUGGGGCGGUCUCCUCCUAAAGAGUAACGGAGGAGCACGAAGGUUGGCUAAUCCUGGUCGGACAUCAGGAGGUUAGUGCAAUGGCAUAAGCCAGCUUGACUGCGAGCGUGACGGCGCGAGCAGGUGCGAAAGCAGGUCAUAGUGAUCCGGUGGUUCUGAAUGGAAGGGCCAUCGCUCAACGGAUAAAAGGUACUCCGGGGAUAACAGGCUGAUACCGCCCAAGAGUUCAUAUCGACGGCGGUGUUUGGCACCUCGAUGUCGGCUCAUCACAUCCUGGGGCUGAAGUAGGUCCCAAGGGUAUGGCUGUUCGCCAUUUAAAGUGGUACGCGAGCUGGGUUUAGAACGUCGUGAGACAGUUCGGUCCCUAUCUGCCGUGGGCGCUGGAGAACUGAGGGGGGCUGCUCCUAGUACGAGAGGACCGGAGUGGACGCAUCACUGGUGUUCGGGUUGUCAUGCCAAUGGCACUGCCCGGUAGCUAAAUGCGGAAGAGAUAAGUGCUGAAAGCAUCUAAGCACGAAACUUGCCCCGAGAUGAGUUCUCCCUGACCCUUUAAGGGUCCUGAAGGAACGUUGAAGACGACGACGUUGAUAGGCCGGGUGUGUAAGCGCAGCGAUGCGUUGAGCUAACCGGUACUAAUGAACCGUGAGGCUUAACCUUACAACGCCGAAGCUGUU
RNAcentral lists this ribosomal RNA (2929 nucleotides) under Escherichia coli. RNAcentral describes it as "bacterial LSU rRNA". It matches the Rfam family "Bacterial large subunit ribosomal RNA". The record is from RNAcentral. Lineage: Bacteria; Pseudomonadati; Pseudomonadota; Gammaproteobacteria; Enterobacterales; Enterobacteriaceae.